Molecule: small nuclear RNA, 167 nt
Organism: Mesocricetus auratus (golden hamster)
Lineage: Eukaryota; Metazoa; Chordata; Mammalia; Rodentia; Cricetidae
Gene: U1
Rfam family: U1 spliceosomal RNA
About the family: U1 is a small nuclear RNA (snRNA) component of the spliceosome (involved in pre-mRNA splicing).
Source: Ensembl
GUACUUCCCCUGCAGAGAAAAUACCAUGAUCAGAAGGGUGGUUUUCCCAAGAUGAGGCUCAUUCAUUGCACUCGGAAUAGCUAACCACUGCAUACAAUUUCUCCAAAUUUUGGAAAUUUGAUUGCAUAAUUUGUGGUAGUGGAGGACUACAUUUGUCUUAUCUUCUU